UCUUCUUCGCCUCCUCGACCCCCUCCUCGCGCCGCGCGGGGGCACUGCGCCGGCUGCUCUCCUCGCCGGCCUUCUCCGCGGCCUGCCCCCUCUUCGGCCUCGCCGGCUUCCUCGCCGCCGACCUCACCCCCUCCACCUCCCUGUCCGCCGCGCGUAGCUGCUGCCCGGACUCCUCCCGCCUGCUCUCUGUCUCCGUCGCAUGGGACCGCCGCCCCGAGGAUGUCUCCGGCACGGGCUCCGCGGAGAUCCCGGUCCGCCUCGCCACCGAAUCGCGCGGCCGGCACAAGGUCAUGGCCUUCGUUGGGAUCUUGACCGGGUUCAGCAGUCCUCAAACUUCAUGGCCGCCUUGUUCACUAGUUGAGGGGUCGCUUGAAAUAACUGUCAGCUUGCUCCUGCAGCGGAGUACAUGAGCUUGCCGGCGAGCCAGUACUCGGUGCUAGACGCGGAGCGCAUCGAGCGCGCCGACGACUCCACCUUCCGAUGCUACGUAUACCGCUUCCGCUUCUUCGCGCUCGAGGUCUGCCCCGUCCUCCUUGUCCGCGUCGACGAGGAACCCAACGGCUGCUGCAUUCGCCUCCUCUCCUGAUACAAUUGACAUGAUUUGCUGUGGGAUGCAGCUUCCAUGGUAAAUAGGGUUUUCUGCAGCAGCACUAAAUAAGAUUCAGCUAUUCAACAGCUUACAUCAGAUACUACAAUAGAGUGUCGCUGCAGGUUUGCAUCAUUAUGAACUAUUGAAAAUUGGCAAACUUUAUGCUGGCAAGGAAACCACCAUCCAUUUUUCUGCUUUCUAUCCCAUGCAGUGAAACAGGUACAA
Panicum virgatum (switchgrass) is the source of this 814-nucleotide long non-coding RNA. RefSeq lists it as uncharacterized. NCBI's taxonomy places the organism in Eukaryota, Viridiplantae, Streptophyta, Magnoliopsida, Poales, Poaceae. The transcript is spliced from 3 exons. The record is from RefSeq and is a predicted model, not a curated record.